Molecule: non-coding RNA, 185 nt
Filed under: Magnetovirga frankeli
Lineage: Bacteria; Pseudomonadati; Pseudomonadota; Gammaproteobacteria; Chromatiales; Sedimenticolaceae
Description: gamma proteobacterium SS-5 6S / SsrS RNA
Rfam family: 6S / SsrS RNA
About the family: E. coli 6S RNA was the first non coding RNA to be sequenced, but its function was unknown until recently. It consists of 184 nucleotides that fold into an extended hairpin structure with a large single-stranded internal bulge.
Source: Rfam by way of RNAcentral
GCGCUCCUGCCGCUCUCGUGUUUCGAUGGGGUAUUUUCUUGAGCCUUACAGUGUACCCUGGGGGCACAAUACCGAUGCCGUUGUGCAUGUCCGCUUCAUAGCGGAAAGCCUGAAGCCUCGGUGCCGCUCCCACUUGAACCCAACGGUUCAGGAACGAAGUCGAUAACGGCCCUGGUGGGAGCGCC